Long non-coding RNA from Polypterus senegalus (gray bichir), 301 nucleotides. RefSeq lists it as uncharacterized. Lineage: Eukaryota; Metazoa; Chordata; Cladistia; Polypteriformes; Polypteridae. The record is from RefSeq and is a predicted model, not a curated record. The transcript has 3 exons.
CUCUUGGGAAGCUUGAGUGCUACAGGAAUGUUUGAGCCUUUCUCCACCUUGUGCCUCGACACAAUCCCAUCUUGAAGCUCUGCAGGCAAUCCCUUCCACCUCCUGGCUGAUCCGCAUUGUGAACUGUGGGACUUUCUUUAAACAGCUCAUGGUCAUCAAUCAAGCCGUUAAUGGGAGCCUUAGAGCAGAAGUCAAGAGGGACUGAGAGAACUAAAGAGAUGGAAUACUACUUGCUUCAUUCAGGGAACACAGAAGAUCAAAAUCAGGAAACAGAGGCGUUUAUCUGUACUGAUAAUUGUCA